UGCGGUGCCUUUGCUCGAAAGUGCUAAGCUUCGUUUUUUUUUUGUUUACUGAUAGCGGAAGCGCUAAGGUAGUCUUUUUGCGGGUAUGAUUUCCCCCGACUUGCCUCUAUCGUACUGUUUAUAGCAUAUAUACGACUUUACGCUGUUGCUUGCUACUUCAUAUACAUGCAUGCUAAACAAUUUAUGUUUCGAGUAUGAUAGUUUCGUGUUGAGCAUAGUGCGUACCAAUUGUAAAACAGCAAUACAGAAGCCUUUGCUCCACUUAGUGGUCAUGUGAUAUGAUAUGUAUAAAAAUCAAUAAGGAAACUGUGGCACAGUGACUCAAUGCCAAUGCAUUUGUGUAUGCUUUGUUUGUUUGUUGAGUAGAGCAAGUUUUAGUAGAGUUGUGCCUAUUUCUUGACAAUAUCAGAGUUUUUUGGUGAUGCAUAUGCUGCUUGAGAAAUAGAAGGGAAAACAGCAGUACUACGCUCAUGUUAAAUUACAAGUACCUGAGGCCUAGUUCGGUAGGGCUUGGGCUUCUUCAUGAUAAGUUGGCAAGUGCGUUUUGCACUUACUAGUACAUAUGAUGCUCAAUCUUAUCUAGUUAUCCUCACUAAUAGACAAUCACAUCUUGUUAGUAGUAUCAAGCUCAAGACAACUAACGUGUCUAGCUUUUAAAUUUUCACUUUAUGUGUUGGCUGCUUCCUUAGUUUCUUGCAGACUAAUUUGAGCUUCUUUGUUUUAAAGGCUUGUGAGUUGUUAUUAUCCUUUGUUUUUUUAGAAGAAAGGUAGGAACUCUUUCUAAAGAUUAGAGGGUGUCUUUCUGAACACUUGUGAUUUAAUCCAGACAUCUAGCACACUUGCAAUUGUGCAAUUAUUUUUAUGCUUCAUGUUGAUGAUGAAUUGACGAUAACACAGUAAAAAAAUACUGGGUGAACAUGAUGACGAAUAAGAAACAACCAGUGAGAUAUGUAGAGUAGAUUGAAGUUGAAGUUACUCUGAUAGAUUGAAAGAUGGAUCAUGCCAGUAAUUCUGAAAUGCAUCGAACAUAAUAAUGCUACCUUCUGACAUGGAAUUUUUAUUGUUUGAGUAUAAGUGAAUUGCCCACCUCUCCCCAUCAGCUUAAGCUUUUGGGUUGAACUGGUCAAGUGCAUGCAACUCAAUAUGGUAUCAUUCGCCUAGUUUAUAUUCUAACCCUAGCUGUCGCUGCUUCCGCACUGCGUGUCCCCGGGAAGAGGUCGAUCUCCGUCGAGGGCAGCGCCCCUCUUUAGGCGCCCGAUCCUAUUGAUCUGGCUGCCAUCGUCGUCGUCGCACAGCAGAUCGGGAUCUCCCCUACAUCAUCGCCAGGUUGCCGUCGCCGCCUCAUCCCCGGGCUCGCCGCCGGCUGUCGCCAUCAACACCUGAUCUUCAUCGCAUGGAGGCAGAUGGAUCUCGCCCUGUCCCGUGCUGCCGUGGUGGCGGCCAGGGCCGGCCACACGCCUCGACCCUACGCUGCCAUGGAGGCAGCCAGAUCUAGCGUGUCGCUGUUGUCGGGUGGAUCUGCCCAUCUCCACUUCGUCAAUCUGCGUCGGCACCUUCGACCCCGCGUGUUUGUGACCCGCCGUGCGCCUUGCGCCGCCCGAUUGGGACGCACCGCCGCCGUCGUGUCGUCUUGCUGGGUACACCCGAUCUGCUGCUGCUGUAUUUUUUUUGGUUUGCCCGAUCGCUGAAGGAUUGAGUCGCCCACCGCCCGUCGACCUCGCGUGUUCUACUCCAACAUCGGCAUCGACUUCAUCGACACCGUCUCCGAGUAUUACGUGCAUUUUCUCUGAGCAACAGGGCUGCUGUUGUGUCGCCUCAUCAGGCCACAACACCGCUGUCCGUGUGUACGCGUCGCUGUUGCAUCUCCAUCGCCGUCAUCCGUGCAUCGACGACUGUGCUGUCCAAUCCCUGCUGCGCCAUCCGUCUGCACAAGGUCUUCGUCCUGCUGAUUGGGUCUUCGUCAUCGAGCUGCCACUACCCGUGUCGUUGCUGUUGCUUGCCGACGCGUCUUCUCCUGCACUGCUUCUUCUUCGUCCAGCACAACCACACGGUCGGGGCCCUCGCUCUUGUACGCUUGGUAUUGGCAACACCAACGCAUGCUUUCGUCCCCGACGCGUUGCUGGAUCUGGCAAAUCCAGCUGCGCCUCGGUGCCCUGUCUGCCUCGAUUGCGUCGUCGCCCUUCUACAACGGUCCUGAUUGCAUCGACUUCGGCAUCGCCCCCUCCCACGACGCUGCCUCGACGCGUCUCCGUCAUUACCAUGCACGACUUCUUCGACCACGGCUAUUGUGCCCUUGCGCUCGGCUACCUCGACAUUGGCAGAAAGGGCUACCGUCUUGCAUUAGGACUCAUCGGCUUCUUCUCCAGCCACAGCAUACGUGGCACAUCGACUGUUAUGACUGCGGGGGGAUGUUACUUAUCAGCUUCUUCUCCAUUCUUACCGUCUGUAGCGCUCCCGCUAUGACUGCGGGGGGAUGUUAGAGUAAAUAGGAAUAGUACCACAUUGUGUAUCUACAUAAGGUGUUAGUCCUAUGUACCCUAUAUAAUCAGCCCAUGAGGCCCAAUGCAAUACAUCAAAUAUUCCACCAA
This is a long non-coding RNA of Sorghum bicolor (sorghum), 2588 nucleotides long. RefSeq lists it as uncharacterized. The transcript has 2 exons. NCBI's taxonomy places the organism in Eukaryota, Viridiplantae, Streptophyta, Magnoliopsida, Poales, Poaceae. The record is from RefSeq and is a predicted model, not a curated record.